RNAcentral lists this ribosomal RNA (442 nucleotides) under uncultured bacterium. RNAcentral describes it as "partial 16S ribosomal RNA". It matches the Rfam family "Bacterial small subunit ribosomal RNA", at positions 338 to 795 of the family's 1533-position model. The record is from RNAcentral.
CCUACGGGAGGCAGCAGUAGGGAAUCUUUCACAAUGGGCGAAAGCCUGAUGGAGCAACGCCGCGUGCAGGAUGAAGGCCUUCGGGUUGUAAACUGCUUUUAUAAGCGAGAAAUAUGAUGGUAACUUAUGAAUAAGGAUCGGAUAACUACGUGCCAGCAGCCGCGGUCAUACGUAGGAUCCGAGCAUUAUCCGGAGUGACUGGGUGUAAAGAGUUGCGUAGGUGGCAUAAUAAGUAGCUAGUGGAAUCUGGUGGCUCAACCAUUCAGACUAUUAGCUAAACUGUUAAGCUCGAGACCGUUAGAGGUAAGUGGAAUUUCUAGUGUAGGAGUGAAAUGCGUAGAGAUUAGAAGGAACACCAAUAGCGUAGGCAGGUUACUGGAACGGUUCUGACACUAAGGCACGAAAGCGUAGGGAGCAAACGGGAUUAGAUACCCCUGUAGUC